Molecule: ribosomal RNA, 1435 nt
Filed under: Lactiplantibacillus plantarum
Lineage: Bacteria; Bacillati; Bacillota; Bacilli; Lactobacillales; Lactobacillaceae
Description: bacterial SSU rRNA
Rfam family: Bacterial small subunit ribosomal RNA
Source: RNAcentral
AGUCGACGAACUCUGGUAUUGAUUGGUGCUUGCAUCAUGAUUUACAUUUGAGUGAGUGGCGAACUGGUGAGUAACACGUGGGAAACCUGCCCAGAAGCGGGGGAUAACACCUGGAAACAGAUGCUAAUACCGCAUAACAACUUGGACCGCAUGGUCCGAGCUUGAAAGAUGGCUUCGGCUAUCACUUUUGGAUGGUCCCGCGGCGUAUUAGCUAGAUGGUGGGGUAACGGCUCACCAUGGCAAUGAUACGUAGCCGACCUGAGAGGGUAAUCGGCCACAUUGGGACUGAGACACGGCCCAAACUCCUACGGGAGGCAGCAGUAGGGAAUCUUCCACAAUGGACGAAAGUCUGAUGGAGCAACGCCGCGUGAGUGAAGAAGGGUUUCGGCUCGUAAAACUCUGUUGUUAAAGAAGAACAUAUCUGAGAGUAACUGUUCAGGUAUUGACGGUAUUUAACCAGAAAGCCACGGCUAACUACGUGCCAGCAGCCGCGGUAAUACGUAGGUGGCAAGCGUUGUCCGGAUUUAUUGGGCGUAAAGCGAGCGCAGGCGGUUUUUUAAGUCUGAUGUGAAAGCCUUCGGCUCAACCGAAGAAGUGCAUCGGAAACUGGGAAACUUGAGUGCAGAAGAGGACAGUGGAACUCCAUGUGUAGCGGUGAAAUGCGUAGAUAUAUGGAAGAACACCAGUGGCGAAGGCGGCUGUCUGGUCUGUAACUGACGCUGAGGCUCGAAAGUAUGGGUAGCAAACAGGAUUAGAUACCCUGGUAGUCCAUACCGUAAACGAUGAAUGCUAAGUGUUGGAGGGUUUCCGCCCUUCAGUGCUGCAGCUAACGCAUUAAGCAUUCCGCCUGGGGAGUACGGCCGCAAGGCUGAAACUCAAAGGAAUUGACGGGGGCCCGCACAAGCGGUGGAGCAUGUGGUUUAAUUCGAAGCUACGCGAAGAACCUUACCAGGUCUUGACAUACUAUGCAAAUCUAAGAGAUUAGACGUUCCCUUCGGGGACAUGGAUACAGGUGGUGCAUGGUUGUCGUCAGCUCGUGUCGUGAGAUGUUGGGUUAAGUCCCGCAACGAGCGCAACCCUUAUUAUCAGUUGCCAGCAUUAAGUUGGGCACUCUGGUGAGACUGCCGGUGACAAACCGGAGGAAGGUGGGGAUGACGUCAAAUCAUCAUGCCCCUUAUGACCUGGGCUACACACGUGCUACAAUGGAUGGUACAACGAGUUGCGAACUCGCGAGAGUAAGCUAAUCUCUUAAAGCCAUUCUCAGUUCGGAUUGUAGGCUGCAACUCGCCUACAUGAAGUCGGAAUCGCUAGUAAUCGCGGAUCAGCAUGCCGCGGUGAAUACGUUCCCGGGCCUUGUACACACCGCCCGUCACACCAUGAGAGUUUGUAACACCCAAAGUCGGUGGGGUAACCUUUUAGGAACCAGCCGCCUAAG